This 484-nucleotide ribosomal RNA is filed under the name uncultured bacterium. Its description in RNAcentral is "partial 16S ribosomal RNA". It matches the Rfam family "Bacterial small subunit ribosomal RNA", at positions 30 to 507 of the family's 1533-position model. The record is from RNAcentral.
AUUGAACGCUGGCGGCAGGCCUAACACAUGCAAGUCGAGCGGAUGAAGGGAGCUUGCUCCUGGAUUCAGCGGCGGACGGGUGAGUAAUGCCUAGGAAUCUGCCUGGUAGUGGGGGAUAACGUCCGGAAACGGGCGCUAAUACCGCAUACGUCCUGAGGGAGAAAGUGGGGGAUCUUCGGACCUCACGCUAUCAGAUGAGCCUAGGUCGGAUUAGCUAGUUGGUGGGGUAAAGGCCUACCAAGGCGACGAUCCGUAACUGGUCUGAGAGGAUGAUCAGUCACACUGGAACUGAGACACGGUCCAGACUCCUACGGGAAGCAGCAGUGGGGAAUAUUGGACAAUGGGCGAAAGCCUGAUCCAGCCAUGCCGCGUGUGUGAAGAAGGUCCUCGGAUUGUAAAGCACUUUAAGUUGGGAGGAAGGGCAGUAAGUUAAUACCUUGCUGUUUUGACGUUACCAACAGAAUAAGCACCGGCUAACUUCGUG